UUGACCUCGGAUCAGGUAGGGAUACCCGCUGAACUUAAGCAUAUCAAUAAGCGGGAGGAAA
RNAcentral lists this ribosomal RNA (61 nucleotides) under Alternaria sp. RNAcentral describes it as "partial 28S ribosomal RNA". Lineage: Eukaryota; Fungi; Ascomycota; Dothideomycetes; Pleosporales; Pleosporaceae. The record is from RNAcentral.